Molecule: long non-coding RNA, 1538 nt
Organism: Biomphalaria glabrata
Lineage: Eukaryota; Metazoa; Mollusca; Gastropoda; Planorbidae
Exons: 7
Source: RefSeq, a predicted model, not a curated record
GUCAUCUUCUCUUGAGUUUUUUUUUUUUAUAAAUGUCAAGUGUACGCUAUACUUUUGGAGUGGAAAAGUUGAUCAUUUUUCUUGCUAAAACAACAGUUUGUUUUACGUCAAGAUGUGGAAACAAUUCAAUGGCCUUGCCGUAGAAGCUGUAACUAUCGGACUUACACUUGUGUUGGGCAGCUCCUUUUUUCCUCAAAACUGUUUGGAGGACUUCAAAAAAAUUCAGCACACAAUCAAUGUUGCUUUGCAUUCAUGGGGACAAGAGAGAUAACCCAAUGUAUGACAUACAAGGAGGAUGCACCUUACAUGAUUAUCUUCUUAUUACUGAUUUCUACCUGUACAUACCAUGCACACAAUUGAAAGUCUGUGAUACCUUGGCUGGGUUUAAUUACAAAAGCACGAUCAAGUCUUCAUGUCUACAAAGGACCGAUCCAGACUUGACAAAGAAAUUAUUUCUUGUUUUAAUCCAAAACUUCAGCGUCCAUCGACAUCAAAAUGUUUCGUAUUCCGACGUCCAGUCUUCUUUGAAUGCAAUCAUACCAAGCACGUCUUUGUUGGCCAUCAGCUACGAAUGCGUUCCAAAAGCUCGCCAUUCUUAUCUCGACAUGUGUUCUGAGGCCAAUCUAGAUGGAUUAACGAAAAGAAUAAUAGCAUUGAAUACAUCAGAACUGAUGAGUUCCAGAUCGCAACCUUCAUCUUGUACAUGUUCAGUGAUGUCGUUGGACAACAGUAUUAGAGUUCACCCUAUUGAUGUUAGACUGACAUCAAGAAUUACAAGUGUAUCAGGAAAACAACGAUGUAGGUCUGGACCUGUUUAAGAGCGAUUCGUUGAUAUGGAUGCUUGCAGGGCACAAAGAAUUUUUUGUGUACUCUAUCAAUAUCAUACUUACAUUUAAAGAAAGAUGGCAGCUAUCGAACAGUUUAUGGAUCGAAAUUGCAGGUGAAGAUAUGAACAUUUCAUGUAGUCCAGAGUUUGAUGAGAUAACACAUGACAUUAAGACCACGACCAUUCCAGUGAAUUCUUCUGUGGAGAUGUUAUCCAAGCUUUCUUCAUACAUGGUGACUGUUAUAGGGCUGUCAAUAGUGGCUGUACAUUUCAGCAUAACUACUUAAAUUCACUACUUUAAUUAUUACGUUUUGUAAGUAUUUUAAACUUAAACAAGUAAGAUAUAAAUAUUUAAAAAAAAAUAAUUUCCCCCCUAAUGAAACUGAUUGAUAAUCAUUAAUUAAUCAUUUAUUCGUUUAAUGCUUCUUUAUUUCAAAAAGUCAUAGUGAGCUUCACACAAUCAAGUUCUUCUAUUGACAGGCCAGCUCAUGAUUUUUACAAACCAAUCUAGAUCUAUAUAUUUUUUUGUAGACCUUAUAUUCUAGCCUUUAAUGUUAUAGUAUAAUUAUCGUUACCUAUAUAUUUCUUUUUAAAUAAAGCACACUUUAUUUACAUGUUAUUUACAUUUUUUGUUUUCAGAAUGAAUGAUCAAGAUAGAUAAUUUAUUUAUAAUCAUUUAGAUCUUCAAAUAAAUGAAAUGCCAAAAUGUCAA